RNAcentral lists this long non-coding RNA (1550 nucleotides) under Mus musculus (house mouse). RNAcentral's name for it is "long non-coding RNA chr9:34710390-34711940". Lineage: Eukaryota; Metazoa; Chordata; Mammalia; Rodentia; Muridae. The record is from RNAcentral.
GAGGCAUUACACCAUGGCAGAAGAACACAGCACUGCUGUUCACACCUCACUUCCCAGAUGCCAGGAAAAUGAGGGAAAGGAAGGAGCCUGCAUUUCAGAGUUCCCUUCAAGAUCACACACACACUGAUGUCCGAGUUUCUCGCAAUAGACCCUAUCUCCCCAAAGUUCUAUUUCUUCCACACAGUAAUAACCUGGAGAGCAAAUUUUUACGACCCAGGUCUUUAAGGAACUAAGGCCUAAAUCCAUCGCUCAACUUUAGCAUAUGUUGAAGAUCUUUUUUCUCACCUAAAAAGAAUUAAAUCUGUAGUUCCUGACCUUGAAAGACUAAUGUUAAGUGCAUAGUUUUUUCAGGAUAGUACAUUCGUUUGUCUGAAUAGACGAGAACAUAAAUGUGAACACUGUAAUCCAGCUUUCUUUAGGUCAUAGAAGUACAUCCUCUAGCAAUAUAUUUGGGGUGCAGUUGUCCCUCUAGAAAAUUCUGUUUAGAAACAGACCAUGUUCUUGACCAACAUCACAAAUAGGGUCCAACAAUGGUCUCCAAAGACUUCUCAUUUAUCACUGACCACUAAUAGAAAAAAAAAAUCCAACCUACAUCUAGGAUAUACACAUUUCUCUGCAAUGCAUAUAUAUGUACUCCAAUUGUAAAGAUGUAUAUUUUUUAAAGUACUAUCAACACAAUAGGAAUGGUAGAAUUAAAAUCUACAACGGCUUGUCUAUGUACCCCCAGAAAGUCAAACAGGUCCCUUGAAGUACAUUAAACCCACUCUGGAGGCCAGUGUCUUACACAAGACAGCAGCUGACAAACUCAAAUGUGUUUUGCAAACCAUACCUUUUAAAUAGUUUGGUUUAUGUUUUUGUUGAGGUUGUUUGUUUGUUUGUUUGUUUGUUUGUCUUUUCCUUCUCCAAUUCAGUGCUCAGGCACCUAAUCCCAACCAGUCCCAUUCCAUUUUGUGAGUUAAAAAAAAUAAUAAUGAUGACAUACCUUCAUAUCUGCCAAAGGGUUUUUCUUUCCUUUUGCUUUCUUUUCUUUUCUUUUUUCUGCUGCAGAAGCAGUUUGAGAGAGAAGUUGUCAUCUCGCCCCACAGUUAUGUAAAUCAGAUAGUUAUUUUUGACACUGGUAAAUAAUAGUUCUGUGCACUGACACUGUUUGCCUACCUUAUCCUGUAAGGUCUCCAGUCAGAAUUCAGAUGUUAGUAAGUGAUUAGCAUUAGGGGGCUAUGGCAAGCAAUUUCUACAGUGUUCUUCACCUAUCCUGAAAAGGUGAUUAGUAACAUUGGUAGGGAGAGGGGAGGGAAUGUCACACAGAUUGCUUCUUUUGAUCAAGUCAAAUCAAGAUGUGUGAUGAGAAGAUUGGCUGGUACAUAUGUAACAUCCGUAGCCUGGGUUGUCCCACAUUCAGGUUGACAUUAACACGGUCUGCUUUUAUCAGAAAGUCAUCUGACUUCUCUUCAGACGGUGUGAAAAUCCCUACCCCAUAUGAUAAGAUUACUACAAAUUAUUUGAUGCAGAGCAAAAAGUAGAAUAAAAAACGGUGUAUUGAUGGUGACAAU